RNAcentral lists this ribosomal RNA (1341 nucleotides) under uncultured bacterium. RNAcentral's name for it is "partial 16S ribosomal RNA". It matches the Rfam family "Bacterial small subunit ribosomal RNA", at positions 28 to 1381 of the family's 1533-position model. The record is from RNAcentral.
GACGAACUCUGGCGGCGUGCUUAACACAUGCAAGUCGAACGGUAAGGCUCCAGCUUGCUGGGGUACACGAGUGGCGAACGGGUGAGUAACACGUGGGUGACCUGCCCUGCACUUCGGGAUAAGCCUGGGAAACUGGGUCUAAUACCGGAUAGGACCGCACCGUGAGGGUGUGGUGGAAAGUUUUUUCGGUGUGGGAUGGGCCCGCGGCCUAUCAGCUUGUUGGUGGGGUAAUGGCCUACCAAGGCGGCGACGGGUAGCCGGCCUGAGAGGGUGGACGGCCACAUUGGGACUGAGACACGGCCCAGACUCCUACGGGAGGCAGCAGUGGGGAAUAUUGCACAAUGGGCGGAAGCCUGAUGCAGCGACGCCGCGUGGGGGAUGACGGCCUUCGGGUUGUAAACUCCUUUCACCAUCGACGAAGGGUUUCUGACGGUAGAUGGAGAAGAAGCACCGGCUAACUACGUGCCAGCAGCCGCGGUAAUACGUAGGGUGCGAGCGUUGUCCGGAAUUACUGGGCGUAAAGAGCUCGUAGGUGGUUUGUCGCGUCGUCUGUGAAAUUCCGGGGCUUAACUCCGGGCGUGCAGGCGAUACGGGCAUAACUUGAGUACUGUAGGGGAGACUGGAAUUCCUGGUGUAGCGGUGAAAUGCGCAGAUAUCAGGAGGAACACCGGUGGCGAAGGCGGGUCUCUGGGCAGUAACUGACGCUGAGGAGCGAAAGCAUGGGGAGCGAACAGGAUUAGAUACCCUGGUAGUCCAUGCCGUAAACGGUGGGCGCUAGGUGUGGGUUUCCUUCCACGGGAUCCGUGCCGUAGCUAACGCAUUAAGCGCCCCGCCUGGGGAGUACGGCCGCAAGGCUAAAACUCAAAGGAAUUGACGGGGGCCCGCACAAGCGGCGGAGCAUGUGGAUUAAUUCGAUGCAACGCGAAGAACCUUACCUGGGCUUGACAUAUACAGGAUCGCGCCAGAGAUGGUGUUUCCCUUGUGGCUUGUAUACAGGUGGUGCAUGGUUGUCGUCAGCUCGUGUCGUGAGAUGUUGGGUUAAGUCCCGCAACGAGCGCAACCCUUGUCUUAUGUUGCCAGCACGUUGUGGUGGGGACUCGUAAGAAACUGCCGGGGUUAACUCGGAGGAAGGUGGGGAUGACGUCAAAUCAUCAUGCCCCUUAUGUCCAGGGCUUCACACAUGCUACAAUGGUCGGUACAGUGGGUUGCCAGCCCGUGAGGGCGAGCUAAUCCCGCAAAGCCGGUCUCAGUUCGGAUCGGGGUCUGCAACUCGACCCCGUGAAGUCGGAGUCGCUAGUAAUCGCAGAUCAGCAACGCUGCGGUGAAUACGUUCCCGGGGCU